UGCCAGCCGCCGCGGUAAGACGGAGGGUGCAAACGUUGUUCGGAAUCACUGGGCAUAAAGCGCACGUAGGCGGUUCGUCAAGUCAGGUGUGAAAUCCCUCGGCUCAACCGGGGAACUGCAUCUGAUACUGGCGAGCUCGAGGAUGGUAGGGGUGAGCGGAACUCCAGGUGGAGCGGUGAAAUGCGUAGAUAUCUGGAGGAACACCGGUGGCGAAGGCGGCUCACUGGACCAUCUCUGACGCUGAGGUGCGAAAGCCAGGGUAGCAAACGGGAUUAGAUA
This 279-nucleotide ribosomal RNA is filed under the name uncultured bacterium. Its description in RNAcentral is "partial 16S ribosomal RNA". It matches the Rfam family "Bacterial small subunit ribosomal RNA", at positions 506 to 784 of the family's 1533-position model. The record is from RNAcentral.